RNAcentral lists this ribosomal RNA (253 nucleotides) under uncultured bacterium. RNAcentral describes it as "partial 16S ribosomal RNA". It matches the Rfam family "Bacterial small subunit ribosomal RNA", at positions 524 to 776 of the family's 1533-position model. The record is from RNAcentral.
UACGUAGGUGACAAGCGUUGUCCGGAUUUACUGGGCGUAAAGAGCGCGCAGGCGGUCGAUCAAGUCGAGUGUGAAAGCCCCCGGCUCAACUGGGGAGGGUCAUUCGAUACUGAUCGACUCGAAGGCAGGAGAAGGUAGUGGAAUUCCCGGUGUAGUGGUGAAAUGCGUAGAUAUCGGGAGGAACACCAGUGGCGAAGGCGACUACCUGGCCUGUUCUUGACGCUGAGGCGCGAAAGCUAGGGGAGCAAACGGG